RNAcentral lists this ribosomal RNA (1235 nucleotides) under metagenome. RNAcentral's name for it is "bacterial LSU rRNA". It matches the Rfam family "Bacterial large subunit ribosomal RNA", at positions 1564 to 2808 of the family's 2925-position model. The record is from RNAcentral.
UGAGUACGAGACGCUAAGGCGUUGAAGCAGUCUAUGUCAGACUUCCAAGAAAAGCUCGCAAUGUCAUAACAAAACCUGCCUGUACCAUAACCGACACAGGUGGGUAGGUAGAGUAUACUAAGGGGCGCGAGAUAACUCUCUCUAAGGAACUCGGCAAAAUGACUCCGUAACUUCGGGAGAAGGAGUGCCUUAUUUUUAUAAGGUUGCAAUAACAAGAUCCAAGCAACUGUCUACCAAAAACACAGGUCUCCGCUAAGUCGUAAGACGAUGUAUGGGGGCUGACGCCUGCCCAGUGCCAGAAGGUUAAAGAAGUUGGUUAGUUUCGGCGAAGCUGAUGACUGAAGCCCUGGUGAACGGCGGCCGUAACAAUAACGGUCCUAAGGUAGCGAAAUUCCUUGUCGGGUAAGUUCCGACCCGCACGAAAGGCGUAAUGAUUUGGAUACUGUCUCGGAGAGGGGCUCGGUGAAAUAGACUUGUCUGUGAGGAUGCGGACUACCUGCACCUGGACAGAAAGACCCUAUGAAGCUUUACUGUAACUUGAGAUUGAAAUUGGACUUUAUUUGCGCAGUAUAGGUGGGAGACGUUGAGAAUAUUCUUGCGGGAAUAUUGGAGUCAUCAGUGAGAUACCACUCUUGUAAUGUUAGAUUUCUAACUUUGUAUCAUGAUCUGGUCAAAGGACAGUUUCAGGCGGGCAGUUUGACUGGGGCGGUCGCCUCCCAAACGGUAACGGAGGCGCACAAAGGUUUCCUCUGAACGUGUAGAAAUCGUAUCUAGAGUGUAAAGGCAUAAGGAAGCUUGACUGUGAGACCUACAAGUCGAGCAGGGACGAAAGUCGGUCUUAGUGAUCUGACGGUGCUGAGUGGAAAGGCCGUCACUCAACGGAUAAAAGUUACUCUAGGAUAACAGGCUGAUCUCCCCCAAGAGUUCACAUCGACGGGGAGGUUUGGCACCUCGAUGUCGGCUCAUCGCAUCCUGGGGCGGUAGUACGUCCCAAGGGUUGGGCUGUUCGCCCAUGAAAGCGGUACGCGAGCUGGGUUCAGAACGUCGUGAGACAGUUCGGUCCAUAUCCGGUGUAGGCGUUAGAAUAUUGAGAGGAGCCUUCUUUAGUACGAGAGGACCGAGAAGGACAUACCUCUGGUGUACCAGUUAUCGUGCCAACGGUAAACGCUGGGUAGCUAUGUAUGGAGUGGAUAACCGCUGAAAGCAUCUAAGUGGGAAGCCCACCUCAAGAUAAG